GCCGUGCAAACUGAAGCUGCAAACAUUUGUCAGCUGACCGUCAACGCGCAGCCGCAGAAACACAGCGGUCAGCUGACCCUUAUCAAAGACGCGCACUUCCGGAAUACAGACAUUUCACAUUAAAAGUUGUAACUUUAGUAGGUGGCGAUAAUGCAUCCUACGUUUGUGUUCCCGCCAAUAAAAGAAGAAGAACAUUGGCGUGGCGUCCAUGGCAUGUGGAGAGUAGCACGCUUACACGAGCCGAAGACACGAGUUUGGGAUGCACGUGUGGACGAGGGAUCAUCCCAGUUUGUUGGAUUUCUAAAUAUCAUAGUUUGGAUUAUUAAAUAUAUUUAUUAAUUCAAGUCAUAUAUUUAAUUGUUUGUUACAAUAAACUAAAUGCAUUUCAAUAAAAUCUGUUUGUGUCUUAAAUAACAUAACUUCGUCGGUCGAUUAUGGUUUGCUGCUUGGGGAAGACACGUGGAAGGUUUUUUUAAGUUGUCCUCUAGUGGUUGGGGCUGAAACAAAUACUUAAAUUAUAUUUCUGUAUGUCUGCAACCAAAAAAUAAACUGGAAAAUAUCAAACAUACAGCCAUAAAAAUAAUACAUUUACAUUAACACAAUCUUUAAAGGGAUAUUCAGCCAAAAAUGAAAAUUCUGUCCUUUACACACCCUCAUGUUGUUACAAACCUGUAUACAUUUCUGUGUUCUAAGGAACACAAAGGAAGAUAUUUUGAGAAUUGUUUGUAACCAA
Long non-coding RNA from Misgurnus anguillicaudatus (oriental weatherfish), 733 nucleotides. RefSeq lists it as uncharacterized. The record is from RefSeq and is a predicted model, not a curated record. NCBI's taxonomy places the organism in Eukaryota, Metazoa, Chordata, Actinopteri, Cypriniformes, Cobitidae.